This 39-nucleotide ribosomal RNA is filed under the name Geomalacus maculosus. RNAcentral's name for it is "partial 5.8S ribosomal RNA". Lineage: Eukaryota; Metazoa; Mollusca; Gastropoda; Stylommatophora; Arionidae. The record is from RNAcentral.
UAACUUUGAGCGGUGGAUCACUCGGCGUGCGUCGAUGAA